This 1372-nucleotide ribosomal RNA is filed under the name uncultured bacterium. RNAcentral's name for it is "bacterial SSU rRNA". It matches the Rfam family "Bacterial small subunit ribosomal RNA", at positions 28 to 1381 of the family's 1533-position model. The record is from RNAcentral.
GAUGAACGCUGGCGGCGUGCCUAAUACAUGCAAGUCGAGCGAACGGACGAGAAGCUUGCUUUUCUGAUGUUAGCGGCGGACGGGUGAGUAACACGUGGAUAACCUACCUAUAAGACUGGGAUAACUUCGGGAAACCGGAGCUAAUACCGGAUAAUAUUUUGAACCGCAUGGUUCAAAAGUGAAAGACGGUCUUGCUGUCACUUAUAGAUGGAUCCGCGCUGCAUUAGCUAGUUGGUAAGGUAACGGCUUACCAAGGCAACGAUGCAUAGCCGACCUGAGAGGGUGAUCGGCCACACUGGGACUGAGACACGGUCCAGACUCCUACGGGAGGCAGCAGUAGGGAAUCUUCCGCAAUGGGCGAAAGCCUGACGGAGCAACGCCGCGUGAGUGAUGAAGGUCUUCGGAUCGUAAAACUCUGUUAUUAGGGAAGAACAUAUGUGUAAGUAACUGUGCACAUCUUGACGGUACCUAAUCAGAAAGCCACGGCUAACUACGUGCCAGCAGCCGCGGUAAUACGUAGGUGGCAAGCGUUAUCCGGAAUUAUUGGGCGUAAAGCGCGCGUAGGCGGUUUUUUAAGUCUGAUGUGAAAGCCCACGGCUCAACCGUGGAGGGUCAUUGGAAACUGGAAAACUUGAGUGCAGAAGAGGAAAGUGGAAUUCCAUGUGUAGCGGUGAAAUGCGCAGAGAUGUGGAGGAACACCAGUGGCGAAGGCGACUUUCUGGUCUGUAACUGACGCUGAUGUGCGAAAGCGUGGGGAUCAAACAGGAUUAGAUACCCUGGUAGUCCACGCCGUAAACGAUGAGUGCUAAGUGUUAGGGGGUUUCCGCCCCUUAGUGCUGCAGCUAACGCAUUAAGCACUCCGCCUGGGGAGUACGACCGCAAGGUUGAAACUCAAAGGAAUUGACGGGGGCCCGCACAAGCGGUGGAGCAUGUGGUUUAAUUCGAAGCAACGCGAAGAACCUUACCAAAUCUUGACAUCCUUUGACAACUCUAGAGAUAGAGCCUUCCCCUUCGGGGGACAAAGUGACAGGUGGUGCAUGGUUGUCGUCAGCUCGUGUCGUGAGAUGUUGGGUUAAGUCCCGCAACGAGCGCAACCCUUAAGCUUAGUUGCCAUCAUUAAGUUGGGCACUCUAAGUUGACUGCCGGUGACAAACCGGAGGAAGGUGGGGAUGACGUCAAAUCAUCAUGCCCCUUAUGAUUUGGGCUACACACGUGCUACAAUGGACAAUACAAAGGGCAGCGAAACCGCGAGGUCAAGCAAAUCCCAUAAAGUUGUUCUCAGUUCGGAUUGUAGUCUGCAACUCGACUACAUGAAGCUGGAAUCGCUAGUAAUCGUAGAUCAGCAUGCUACGGUGAAUACGUUCCCGGGUCU